Non-coding RNA from Aedes aegypti (yellow fever mosquito), 117 nucleotides. Lineage: Eukaryota; Metazoa; Arthropoda; Insecta; Diptera; Culicidae. The record is from Rfam.
UGCUCAGCAACUCCUAUCCCUACCUCCUCGCGGUACUGGCCGGGGUACGAGUAACCUUAGGGAAGAUCGGGUAACCAACCCCCGGUGGGAACUUUGGUCGUAUGCUGACAGGGAAGG